Molecule: ribosomal RNA, 2484 nt
Filed under: wastewater metagenome
Description: bacterial LSU rRNA
Rfam family: Bacterial large subunit ribosomal RNA
Source: RNAcentral
GAAUGUUACUCAGCGCAUCACAUGGAUGCCUCGACUCUGCAUUCCGAUGAAGGACGUGGCCAGCUGCGUUAAGCUACGGUCAGCCGCUAGGCAGGCGCUAACAGCCGUAGAUCUCCGAAUGGGGAAACCCCUUGAGAGUCAUGUCUCAAGACCGUACGUUGUCAUGAUGUACGGAGGUAUACUCAGGGAACUGAAACAUCUCAGUACCUGGGGAAAAGAAAUCAUAUGAGAUCCCCUCAGUAGUGGCGAGCGAACAGGGAACAGCCUAAACCGUGUACUUGUACACGGUGUUGCAGGACCCCGAUAUCUGAUUGUGUGUUUGUAGCGGAACGACUCUGGAAAGAGCGGCAAAACAGGGUGAUAGCCCCGUACGCGAAACAACCAUGCACGGUAGGGAGUUCCUAAGUACGGUCGGACACGUGAAAUCCGGCCUGAAUCCGGGUGGACCACCAUCCAAGGCUAAACAGAUGCAGAGAUCAAUAGCGGAUAGUACCGUGAGGGAAAGGUGAAAAGCACCCCGAAAGGGGGAUGAAAUAGUCUCUGAAAUUUGAUACGGACAAGGAGUCGGAGCACCUUCGGGUGUCACGGCGUUCCUUUUGCAUAAUGAGCCAACGACUUUGUUCUCAGUGGCAAGGCUAAGGCAGAUUCAGCCGGAGCCGUAGCGAAAGCGAGUCCGAAUAGGGCGCUUUAGUCGCUGGGACAAGACCCGAAACCGGGUGAGCUAUCCAUGAGCAGGAUGAAAUCCCGCGAAAGCGGGAUGGAGGUCCGAACCAUAACGUAUCGCAAGACGUUGGGAUGACUUGUGGAUGGGAGUGAAAAGCUUACCGAACCCGGAGAUAGCUGGUUCUCCUCGAAAUGCCUUUAGGGGCAGCCUCGUAGUGCACGAUGGGGGGUAGAGAUACUGUUUGGAUGCGGGGGUCACUUCGACCUACCAAAUCCUGACAAACUCCGAAUACCCGCAGUUAGAGAGACGGGAGUGAGACGGUGACAGCGAACUGCCAUCGUCGAAAGGGAAAGAGCCCACAUCAUUUGCUAAGGUCCCCAAGAAAUAUUCAGUGGUAAAGGAAGUGUAGGUGCGUAGACAACCAGGAGGUUGGCUUAGAAGCAGCCAUCCUUCAAAGAAAGCGUAACAGCUCACUGGUCGAUGCACUUAUGCGCCGAAAACUCAACGGGGCUAAAUAUUUCACCGAAGCAGUGAAUGUUCCUAGGACUACGGUUCUAGGGAUGUGGUAGAGGAGCGUUCCGUUCAGCUGUGAAGCAGUAUCGUGAGGUAUUGUGGAGCGUACGGAAGCGAGAAUGUUGGCAUGAGUAACUACUAGGCAGGUGAAAACCCUGCCCGCCGAAUCCCCAAGGUUUCCCACGCAACGGCAAUCGGCGUGGGGUUAGUCGGUCCUAAGGCCAGGCCGAAAGGCGUAACCGAUGGACAUCAGGUUAAUAUUCCUGAACUUCUUAUGAAUCGCCCAAGGGUGGUAGUUGAUAGUUCUGUUGGCCUCUGUUCUCACCAUUCUGGAUUUUGAGAAGCUUGUAGGUAGUAGCUUGUAGCUUGUAGGAUUUUUCCUACUCCCUACCAGCUACAAGCUACCAGCUUUUACGAAACUAGAACGGUGAGAAUACGUCUAUAGAAAAGGAUAUUUCCAACCUAGGAGCGGUGUGACGGAGUGGGAAGAUCGGAGCGUACGUAUUGACUGUACGUGUAAGACGUAAAGCGUUGAGACCGGGAGGCAAAUCCCCUGGUUGAGUUGAGCGUCCACACCAAACGCCCCGCGCAAGCGGGGAGAGUCCGUACCUUUCUGCUUCCAAGAAAACCAUCGCUCACAGAGUCAUAAGAAACCGUACCGCAGACCAACACCGGUGGGGUGGUCGAGUAGACCUAGGUGAACGGGAAAACUCGCGUUAAGGAACUCGGCAAUGAAGCGUCCGUAACUUCGGGAUAAGGACUCCCUAUACUUAUUGGUAUAGGGCGCAGCGAAAGAGGCCAGGCGACUGUUUAUCAAAAACACAGGUCCCUGCUAAGCCGUAAGGCAAUGUAUAGGGGCUGAUGCCUGCCCAGUGUCAGAAGGUCACGUGAGAGGGUGUAUGCCUUCGAUCUAAGCCCUGAUGAACGGCGGCCGUAACUAUAACGGUCCUAAGGUAGCGAAAUUCCUUGUCGGGUGGUCGUACUAACAACUUGCCCGAAUCAUGAGCAAUCAUGAACACUGAGGAAUAAUCGUUAAUGUUUUGAUAGAUGUCUCACUUCGACAGGAGUGAUAUUCCGUAACGAAAGCUAUGGAAUGGUCUCACAAAAAUUCGCAAAUUUAUUACUGCCCGCGCGUGGUAAUAAGAGAAGCCAGUUCAACACACUAUGUAUUCUCUCUCCUGAAUGUAUUGAUGGAAGAGAAUACCGAGAUAUCAGACAGUUGUGGAAAUACCAUUAUCAGUGAAAAACGUCGCUAUAUGCUGGAAUAUCCGAGAAUGGCGGAGUACAGGAUACUUGACAUUUGUCUC